This 267-nucleotide ribosomal RNA is filed under the name uncultured Bacteroides sp. Its description in RNAcentral is "partial 16S ribosomal RNA". It matches the Rfam family "Bacterial small subunit ribosomal RNA", at positions 74 to 339 of the family's 1533-position model. The record is from RNAcentral. Lineage: Bacteria; Pseudomonadati; Bacteroidota; Bacteroidia; Bacteroidales; Bacteroidaceae.
AGGAGCUUGCUCCUGGGUGAGAGUGGCGAACGGGUGAGUAAUGCGUGACCGACCUGCCCCAUACACUCAGGGAUAGCCUUUCGAAAGAAAGAUUAAUACCUGAUGGUAUGAUGAGAUUGCAUGAUAGCAUCAUUAAAGAUUUAUUGGUGUACGAUGGGGAUGCGUUCCAUUAGGUAGUAGGCGGGGUAACGGCCCACCUAGCCGACGAUGGAUAGGGGUUCUGAGAGGAAGGUCCCCACAUUGGAACUGAGACACGGUCCAAACUCC